RNAcentral lists this long non-coding RNA (13330 nucleotides) under Lathyrus oleraceus (garden pea). Its description in RNAcentral is "Pisum sativum (pea) long non-coding RNA (PSAT_LNC038299)". The record is from RNAcentral. Lineage: Eukaryota; Viridiplantae; Streptophyta; Magnoliopsida; Fabales; Fabaceae.
AAAGACAUUCAAAUCCUGCAUCCUCUUCACUUUUUCAUGUACUGCAGCUUCUUUCAACCACCUUCCAUAUUUUAUUCUUCACUCAUUUAUCACAUACAACCCCUCUAUAAUCACAUGCAACAAAACCAAUAUAAUCGUGGAAUUCGCAUCACCACAACUUCAACGUACACCCCCUCUCAAAGCUCCGAUAUCGCUACCGACCACCAUCUUUCCGUUUUCAUUUUCAGGCACACGUGAAUCCUCUUGUAGCGGCAUUGCAACGAAACAACAACACCGCCCACACGAUAACGCUACUCAGCAUUUCAGCAACAACACGCAGCAACUUGGGUUUGUUUCUUUUAUUUCUCCUUUUGUUGUUUUUGAUGCGGUUUGGUUAAUAUUGCUUUCUCUUCACAUUUUUGUUAGCAUGCAUGUUUUGAUUAUGUUUUAGUUUUGCCGAUAUCGUUGUGUAGCUUAUUUUUUCUUGCUAUUUGCGUUUUGAUGUUGAAGAUAUUUACUGAACUAUGUUGUUGUUGUUGUUUGUACGUGUGCAUUGCAUUGAGAAAUUAUAUUGAAGUUUGUUUUAAUUUUCACACAUACACUGCAUUUACAUAUACAUGAACCUAUAUUCUUAGUAUAUAGAGUUGGUUUUAAAAUAUAUAUACAGUUAGUUUCCUAUUUUUCUUUCAUUUAUUUACUUUUUUAGUUAAUUUUAUAAUAUAUACAUUCAUAUUAUGUUUUGUUAUGCAUAUAUAAAUUUUUGAUUUAAGUUAUAUAAUAUAUAAUAUAUAUAUAUAUAUAUAUAUUUUGAUUUAGAAAGGUAGUAUAUAUACUGAAAAGUUGUUGCAUAAGAUAUAAUUUGAUUUUAUUUAUAUAAAUUUUUGGUUGUACUAAUUUUAUGACUAGUCACUCAUGGCUUGGUGGCUAAAACAUCUUAUGUUUGCCAUAAGGGCCUUAGUUCAAGUUCAAUCGUUGGGCUCUCGUAAUUAUUUGGUUUAGAUUAAUCUUUUUUGUAUCUCCUAUUUAAUUAAAAAAAACAUUGUUGCUUUAUUCUAUUUUUGUUUUUAUUUUAUUUUUAUUUUUUAAAUGCGUCAAAAAAGUAAAUUAUUUAUUUAUUCAUAUAUUUAUUUACUUUUUUUAAUUGACUUAUUUUUGGGUCUUUGUAUAUAAGUUAUUUUGUAGGAGGGUCCAUUCAACUCCUUUUGUAUUCCAAUCUUCGUACUUCGAUCAUUUGAACCUCAAACCUUCACACUCCAAUAUUCAAUUUUUUUUCUCUCUCAUUAAAAUGUGAAGAAAAAGAUUACCUUGAAUGGAAUAUCCAGUCGUAAUCUCGAAUAUUAGGCUCAAGUUGUAAGAGCUUGUAAGCCCUAUGUAUUCGUCUUCUCUUUAAAAUGCUCCAAUAUUCAAAUCUUUUUCUCAAUAAAAUCUGAAGAAAAAGAUUAUCCUGGAUGGAAUAUCCAGUCGUAAUCCCGAAUAUUAGACCCAAAUUGUAAGAGCUUGUAAGUCAUAUGUAUUCGGCUUCUCCUCUAAAACACUUGUAAAUAUUCACACAAAAAAUUCCAAUAAAAUUGAAAGAAAUAUAUUACCUGGGUGAAAGGUCCAGACGUAGUCCCGAGUAUUAGACCCAAGUUGUAAGAGCUUGCAAGUCAUAAAUAUUCAUCUUUCAAGCCCAAAAAUACAUCCAACCAAUCAAACACUUUUUCGCCGCCGCGCGAUUGAUUAGAAAAUCUUUUUCAUAAACGAAAGACAUCUUGUCUUAAGAUGAUGCAAAGAAAUGCUUCGGCCACAAUUGUUGAAUUGAGAUAAGUGACGUUUUUCCAAAUGUUGAUUUGUAAAUCCAUUCGAUGUGUGGUAUACGUCUGCUCCUCAUCUGUUUUGGGUAAAAUAUUGUUUUCGUCUAUUAAUGCAAUAUAGCUUUCGCUAAAAUCGACCAACAAACAAAUAUUUUUCUACCAGAAACUACGUAAGCCUUGAGUUCUCUAUUGAGAUACGUAGGAGCAGGAUUGUGAAAUCUUGUCAGGCCCAUUAAUAAAAAACUUAGGUUUAGUCCCCUUCGUUGCAAAAAAAUCCAAAAACAUCUUCUCUUUUCUUUUGAUCCUAUUAUUCUUUCCCUCAUAAUAUCUUGAGAAUCCUAACAUUUCAAGCUAACACUAAUGCGCACAAUUAACCUAAUGGUUCCCGUUGAGUACAACGGACGUGAGGGGUGCUAAUACCUUCCCCUUGCAUAAUCGACUCUCGAACCCUGAUUUGGUUGCGACGACCAUAAUCAUUGUCGUUCUUUCUUGGGUUUUAUCGAUAUUUCCCCUUUCCUUUUUAGGGAUAAUUAAAGUUCGAUGGCGAAUCUGUUCAGUCCAUAAUUGCGAGCGUGCAAUUGCGCCUCGCUUAGUCGUGUUUUCAUUUUUCGAGGUGCGACAGAUGGCGACUCUAUUCAGUCCAUAAUUGCGAGCGUGCAAUUGCGCCUCGCUUAGUCGUGUUUUCAUUUUUCGAGGUGCGACAGAUGGCGACUCUGGUGGGGACACAUUUGUCUCCCUAAGUGAGUCAAGCCUAGUUAGGUUGUUUAUGUGCCUUUGCUUGUUUACUUUUGUGGCUUUUCUUUAUUGUUUUUUCUAUGUUUAUUGUCUUAUUGAUAAAAUAUGAUGUAUUGGUUCGAUUAUGCUUUGGUACUUGGAAGUCAUAAAUACUCGGGUCUAAUACUCGGGACUACGUCUUUUAAGCCCCAAAAUACAUUCAACCAAUCAAACUCUUUUUCUUCGCCGUGCGAUUGAUCAGAAAAUCCUUUUCAUAAAUGAAAUACAUCUUAUCUUAAGAUGAUGCAAAGCAAUGCUUCGGCCAGAAUUGUUGAGUUGAGAUAAGUGACGUUUUUCCGAAUGUUGAUUUCUAAAUCCAUUCGAUGUGUGGUAUACGUCCGCUCCUCAUCUGUUUUGGUAAAACAAUGUUUUCGUCGAUUAAUACAAUAUUUCUUUCGCUAAAAUCGACCAACAAACAAAUAUUUUUCUACCCAAAACUACGUAAGCCUUGAGUUCUCUAUUGAGAUACGUAGAAGCAGGAUUGCGAAAGCUUGUCAGGCCCAUUAAUAAAAAACUUAGGUUUAGUCCCCUUCGUUGCAAAAAAAUGCAAAAACAUCUUCUCUUUUCUUUUGAUCCUAUUAUUGUUUCCCUCAUAAUAUCUUGAGAAUCCUAACAUUUCAAGCUAACACUAAUGCGCACAAUUAACCUAAUGGUUCCCGUUGAGUACAACGGACGUGAGGGGUGCUAAUACCUUCCCCUUGCGUAAUCGACUCCCGAACCCUGAUUUGGUUGCGACGACCAUAAUCAUUGUCGUUCUUUCUGGUUUUAUCGAUAUUCCCCUUUCUUUUUAGGGAUAAUUAAAGUUCGAUGGCGAAUCUGUUCAGUUCCAUAAUUGCGAGCGUGCAAUUGCGCCUCGCUUAGUCGUGUUUUCAUUUUUCGAGGUGCGACAGAUGGCGACUCUGGUGGGGACACAUUUGUCUCCCUAAGUGAGUCAAGCCUAGUUAGGUCGUUUGUGUGCUUUUGUUUGUUUACUUGUGUGGCUUUUCUUUAUUAUUUUUGCUAUCUUUGUUGUCUUAUUGAUAAAAUUUGUUGUAUUGGUUCCAUUAUGCUUUGGUACUUGGAUACUCUGAUUACAAACCAUGUGGGAAAGACUUUUUACCCGAGUCUCGAGUAAAAACAUAAGAUAGGAUGAGGUUGAGUAGCGCGGGUCCGCGAGAUGAAUUUCUCGUUGGGUUAGUGCGAGAACCUUACUUAGAGUAGAUUCUUGAGAGGAUGUUGUCGCUCGGCAAGUAAGUUGUCGUAAGCUUCGAUUGUUUCUUUAGGAUCCAUGACUCUGAGAACCAUUUGUAGAACCUUAAUCCUUUGUCCAACUAGGAAAGAUGGUUGUGUAGCAUGGGUCUGUGAGUUGAAUUUCUCGUUGGAUCGAUGCGAGAACCUCACUUAGAGUAGAUUCCUUAGAUGGAGUUGAUGCCCGACAAGUAAGUUACUGCAGGUAGCAAACAGUCUAAUGGAUCCAUGACUAUAGGAACCUUUUUUGAAACCUUAGAUCAUACCUUGUGAGAACCAUGUUCUAUAUGAAGCAAUCAAACUUAUCUAUGCCUUAAGCCUAUUGAACUUAUACAAAAAAAAAAUGCAUCACGUUCAUCCAUAUACAUUGCAUCAACAUCAUAAAAAGCAAACUCUUAGUUGUCUCUUAUUUGUUUCAGGAAUUGAGAACUUGAAAAUGACAACUCCAAGGAGACACACUUUCACACUUAAGUACAAGGAACCUAAGCUUGACAGUCUGAAGGGUUUGAUAUCUGAUUUGACUCUUAGUAAGCGUGAUGAUUUCGGAAAAUACUAUGCAAAAAUUUUGAGCCUUCUGACUAAGAAAGUUGACUAUGGGAUUAUCAACUCAUUGGCACAAUAUUAUGAUCCACCUCUACGCUGUUUCACAUUCGCUGAUUUCCAACUAGCUCAUACUUUGGAAGAAGUUGAGAGAAUCGUGGGUCUCAAAUUGAAAGAUUUCAAUCCAUUUCCAAAGCUCGAAGAGGAAGCGGGCCCAAAGAAGAUAGCGUUAGCCCUAAGUAUCAAUGUCCCAACUGUUCUAGACAAUUGGGUUGAGAAAGGGGGUUUUAAAGGUUUUGCCAUGAUGUUCUUGGAAGCUUUAGCUCUGAAGUUCAAGAAAAAAGGAAAUUGGAACGCAUUCUAUGCCGUGUUGGCUUUAUUGAUCCAUGGGAUUGUGCUCUUCCCAAAUGUUGAAAAGUUUGUGGAUCAGGUAGCCAUAGAAGUAUUUCUCUCUGGAAAUCCUGUACCAUUUCUCUUAGCUGACAUUUACCAUGCCCUUCAUGCUCAACAUGAAAAGAGGGGUGGAACUUUUUUGUGUUGUGCUCCUUUGCUUUAUACUUGGUUCAUGCAACAUAUGCCCAAAAAAGGCCAUUUUAUGGCAAAGGAACUUAAAUAUCCUCAAAGACUAGCUUCUCUCACUGCAAGUUCCAUCCAAUGGUAUAUCCGAGAGUGGGAAACCCCAGACAUUAUUGUCACCUGUGGGGAAUUUCCUAAUGUACCAUUGUUAGGUACUAAGGGUUGCAUCAAUUAUAACCUUAUGUUAUCUCGAAUGCAACACGGCUACUCCAUGGAUGGUCCUCCUGACGCAAAGGACUUACAGCCAUUUGUGCUCUUUGACAUCCAAGCGAGUAAUCCUGAUGUAAGAGUGAUCCGAAAGGCUUGGUUGAAGAUUGUUAGGAAGGGUAAAGAGUUUGGAAAAAGAAACACUCUUGUCAAAGAACCUUACACUCGAUGGGUGAAAGAAAGAGUUGAGGAAAUCCAUUUGCCAUUUAUCUUUAAUGCUUCAGCUUUUCCUAAAAUUCCUGAGCCAAAGCCUAUACUCCCUGAGGACAUGGAGAAACUCACUACUAAGGUUAAAGAGCUCGAAUUGGAUAAUACUGAAUUACAGAUUCAGAUGAACCGAGCUAUCUUGGAAAAUAAAAAUUUGAAGGAUGAACGUAAGGGGAAAGCCCAGAAACUUGAGGAUAGUAACAAGAGAGUUAGGCUAUUGGAAGACCAGAAGGACGAUCUUGAUCAUAGCCUUAUAGGUUCCACAUCAGUGAUCCAGACCAGGAAGGAAGAGCUCAAGAAAGUUGAAUAUAGGAUUUGUGAGUUAGGAAGAAUGUUGGAUAGAUCUCUUAUGGAAACGAAAGAAAUUAAGAUUGACUUUGAGGCACAGAUCCGUGAAUUGAAGGACACUCUGAAGAAAUGCAAAGAAAAGUUGUCUCGCGAGAUACUCCAAACGAAAGAAGCUGAAAGAAACUGUCACCAUCUCAAGUACCAGUUGGAAGAAGCUAAUAGGAGGUUUGCAGUUUUGGAGAGACAAGAAGGUGAUGCAUCCUACUUGCUCCUAAAGAAUGAUUGUGUGUAUUGGAAAAGGCUGUAUAGAGAGGCUAGAGAAACAUUAGAUGAAGAUCAAUAGGUCAUCAAGAAACUCCAAGAGCUCUAUGUUGAAUGGAAUGGCAAGUUCCACAACUUAGCUAGAUUUGUUAACCUCAACAUGUUGGAACUCCCAGAAAAACUCCAGGAAGCCGAUUGGUGUAUGUGUCCAGAAAACACGCUUCCUCAAGUUUUCAAUUUCAUCAAUUUUUGCAAGAAAAUGACGAAGGAGCUCACCACAGAUCUUUCUACGAUCAUAAGAGCUGAUACGGAGCUUAAGUUUACUUGUACUUGAAUUUGAAUUGUUGAUGUUUAAAUCUUUUGUAUUUGAAUCAUUUGUACUUGAAGUUAAAUCCUUUUGUAUUCAAAUUUGAUUUUAAUUAAUGGAAGUUGUCAUUUUGGGCCUCAAUUAUUACGUUUGAUUCUUAUUUAAUAUAUUCUAACAUUGCUGGAAUAAAUAAUAAAGAUAACUAAGAGCUUUGCAUAAAAUGCACCCAUAACAUACACUCAUGUCAUUCUUCAAACAAAAAACUCAUUUUUGUGUCUUCUUCAGUUCCACACUGAGUCCUCAACACCACUACAACACCAGAGCCAACGCUCGUCAAAGAAUGGAUCUUCAAACAAAAAACUCAUUUUUGUGUCUUCUUCAGUUCCACACUGAGUCCUCAACACCACUACAACACCAGAGCCAACGCUCGUCAAAGAAUGGCAGAUCAAGAACAAGAAUUGGAGAGAGUAAGGUCAGAACUUGAAGACCUACGAAGAAACAUGGGUCAAGUCAUGGAGAUACUACAAGUCAUUAAGGCCAAGUUAGACACCCAAACGACAGUCGUUUCAGAAAUCACUGGUUCUACGAUUGAACCCCAACCUGCGAGGACAGUGCCGACCACUUGGCCAGUCUAUGGUUUACCUCCCGGCUUCACACCUCCAGUUGAAGGCGCCCCUGGGUUUGUACAAUCCACUCAGCAGACGGUUCCUCUACCAACUAUCAAUGAAACUCAUCCCGUGGUCCACACGUUCGCACCACCCCUUGUCCAUGCACACGUGCAACCUUAUUUUAAGGAUCAACAACAUGCUCCGGAUUUUUGGGAUGAAGAUGAUGAAAGGAAUGAAGACAUAAGAGGAAUUAAAGAGAACUUCCAGAUUCUUGAGAAAAGGUUAAGGGCUAUGGAAGGUGACCAAGUCUUUGGUGCUGCUGCUAGGGAGAUGUGCUUAGUGUCAGGUAUUGUAAUUCCCACGAAAUUCAAGACCCCAUAUUUCGAUAGGUACGAGGGCCACUCAUGUCCUAAAAGUCACCUUAUUAUGUACUAUCGAAAAAUGGAUGCACACGCAGAGGACGAUAAACUUAUGAUACAUUGCUUCCAAGACAGCUUGAGGGGUACUCCCUCUAAGUGGUAUUUAAGCCUUGAUCAAAGUAGAAUUCGUUGUUUCCAAGACUUAUCUGAUGCUUUCAUCCAACAUUAUAAGUAUAACAUGGAUAUGGCCCCAGAUAUGAGGCAAUUGCUCAACAUGUCCCAGAAAGAUAACGAGUCAUUUAAGGAAUAUGCACAAUGAUGGAGGGAAAUGGCCUUACAAGUCAAACCACCCCUUGUCGAGAAGGAGUUAGCAGAUUGGUUCAUGGAUACGGUAAAACCUAUGUUCUAUGAAAGGAUGGUGAGUAGUGUAUCAGCAAGCUUCUCUGACUUGGUUACCGUGGGCAUAAAGGUCGAGCUUGGAUUGAAGAAUGGAAAAAUGAUAACCACCUCUGAAACAUCUGGUAAUAAUGUCAAAAAGUUUCCCGGAAGUUUUCAAAGAAAGAAAGAGGGUGAAACAAGUGCAGUGUCAACCAGUCAAAGAAGGAGUCAUUCGUGGAAGAAGCAACAUCAAUUUGCUCAGCAACAACCAAUUUAUCUAGUGCAGUAUAUUCAACAAUAAUAUGUGGCAGAAGUCACACCAAAUUUCAACCAAUCACAAGCUCCUGUCUAUCAACCUAUUCAACAAGCACCAGUAUACUAGCAAGCACCCAUGCCACCCGCUUAUCAACAACCAAGGGCACAGGCUCCACGUCCACAAAAUCUUCCAAAUCAAAAUAGGGUACAAAGAGGUAGACCUCCUUUCGCUUCAAUCCAUAUGACAUACACUGAGUUAUACCCAUCGUUACUGCAAAAAGGGUUGGUGACUCCCAGACCUUUGGGUCCUUCACCAAAUACUUUACCUCCAUGGUACAAUCAAGAUGCCCAUUGUCCUUUCCAUGAGGGUGCCCCUGGGCAUGAUUUAGAGGGAUGUUAUGCUUUGAAGCAUUUUGUGCAAGAGCUGGUUGAGAAGAAGAUCCUUUCAUUCCGAGAUGUUGGACCCAACGUAAAAAGUAGCCCUCUGCCAAUGCAUGGUGAUGUUAAUGCCAUUGAGGAUGUUUCUGAUGUUCGUAUAAUAAAAAAUGUUAAAGAUGUUAAAACUCUGUUGCUAGCACUCCAUGCAAGAUUGGUGGGAGCUAGUUUGAUUGAUACCUGUCACGACAACUGUGAAGAAUGUGCCGUUUAUCCAAGGGGAUGUAAAAUGGUACGAACUGAUAUUCAAAACUUGAUGGAUCAAGGUGUUUUACAAGUUUGUGGUCCUGCAACAAACGAGGAAAUUUCAGUCAUUGAACCCUUUUUCAAUCUACCAGAACCUGUUGAGAUAACUUAAAAAACUUGAUGGAUCAAGGUGUUUUACAAGUUUGUGGUCCUGCAACAAACGAGGAAAUUUCAGUCAUUGAACCCUUUUUCAAUCUACCAGAACCUGUUGAGAUAACUUAUCAAAGAAAAGAUGUUGUUCAUCAAUCACUCGUGGUAGUUUGUAUGCCUACCCCCUUUCCCUUUGAAAGCACCAAAGCGGUACCUUGGAAAUAUGACAUAAAUGUGGUAGAUGGAGUGGUAGAUGAAGAACCCAAAGAUGUUGAAGGUGAGAAAAGCUUGGAGAAUGUUGACACCAAUAUCACUAUGUAAGACCCUAAUUUUGACCCUAAGAUCCCUCAUGGCAUCAUAUCAUUGCUCAUUGCAUUGCCUCAAGGAUCAUAGCAUGUGUAGCUCCUUAACCCUUGGGUUGGGACUUGUGUGAGUUGGUUUGAGACCACCAAGCAUGCUUGAAUUGUAUAUUAUUGUGUUUAUUAUUUUUUUUAUUAACCAAAAGCACAAAAGUAUGUCACUAACCUCUUUUGUUUUUAAGCUCAAGUGAUCACAUGUGCCCUUGCUCCUAGGAGUCUCCUAUGCUCAAUGAAGUGGCUAGAUGAAGAUGAAAGCAGCAUGACAAUGGUUCCCAAAGCUCUCAAUCAUCAUAUAUGUCUCCCAAGUAUCUCAAUUUGUCAAUUUGAUCAAGAUAAACUAAAGGGCUUGAGGAUUAUUUCCCAAGGAAACCCUAAUUCAAUUGUGCAUUGACUGUGCAUUGUUCAUGAAGCAACCUCAAUCUAUGAUAAAAUUCAACAAAGGGAAGUUCUUUCAUUCAUUAUUUUAUGCAUAUAUGCGCCUAUGUGAGUAUCCUUAAUCAUUCAUUCAUCAAGAUUUGAAGUUUGGCCUUGAGAAGAUGACCAGUUAAGUCAUCUGACUAAACUGAGAAUCCCUAAGACCUAACUUUUUAUGUGUUUGUCAAAUGAAGAUGACCCCAAGAGAAACAAUGUUCUUAAGAACCAUAUGAACAACUUUCAUGUUCAUCAAAAAUCCAUUUGAAACAUGGAAGGUCAUUAUUAAUUUCAAAACAUUAUAGGUCAUUUUGACUGAAACCCUAAUCUUGGGUCAACUUCCCGAGGACCUAACUCCUUCAUUUUUUAUGAUUUUUAGGUUAGACCAGUUGAAUUGGAAAGAUUAAUAUGUCUACUUAAAAUGUUAUGUUGGAAAAAAUUUCAUAAUCCUAAAAGAAACACAUGUGAUAAUACAAAACAUUAUAAGUCACUUUGGACCAAAACCAUUGAAUAUUGAAAAAGUCCAAUUUCAAGUGCCCAUAACUUUCUCAUAAAAAAUCCAAAUGAUGAAAAAUUUAAGUCUAAAUUUAUCAUCUUGAAAAUAUCUACAAGUUUUAUGUUGGAGGUGUUUCCAUUUUAGGCUUACGUCAUUAAAAUAGAAGGGCUUGAAGUUGGUCACUUUUGAGAAAAAUUUUCAAAGGGAACUUAUAUAUGUUUUGUACCUCAAACUUCAAGGCCAGUUUUCACAAAUUUCCAAACUCCAAAUGGAUUUUUUCCCAACAUAUCUUUUGUUCCUUAUGUCAAGACCUUUCCAACCAUUACUCAUAUGCCUAUGUUUGGAUUUUCUAUGUGUGACUUUCGAAGAGGUGAACAUUUAUGCCCAAUUAUGCAUUUCACUUUGAAUCUUCAUGCACAAGACAUUGCAGUUCAAAUUGCACGUCCAUUCCAACUUCAAAUGAGUUCAGCUUGCAAAUUCACUUGAGUUUGGGCCUCACAUGCGCCUGUACAGGCCCAUGCAUGGAGGACCCGAAGCUUCACGCACACGAGUUUUCCCUCACUUAGCAUCAGCUCCAGCUAUAAAUACAAUGCCAUGCUCAUUCUAAAUGGAACCUCAAGGAAACCUAAAACUCUGGAGAAGUGAAAACCCAACCAUACCAAAGGAAUUCUGAUUUUUUAUUUUCUCAAUUCAAGCUUGAAUUUCAACAAAAUCAGUUGAUCUUCAAGACUUAUUCCUUAGCCUUACAUUCAUACCACAUCUCAAGAUCAAAUUGGAAGCAAAAGUUUGGAAGGAAUCGUGUUGAUCAAAGCUGCUCUUCAAAGGUAUAUGAUCCAACUGUUUUGAUCUGAAUCUCAUCAUACAAUGUGAAUUGCUUGUGUUCAAAUGGUUUUCUGAAGUCCUCGUGCAAGAGGCAAGCUAGUGGUGCCUUUGAUUUCAUGUUUUAAAGCACUUUAGUUUGCACACCUUGAAUUUCCAACUCAGAUUUCACACUUGAUAGAGAUCUUGAGGACAAUCCAAGGUUACAAGGGUGAUGUACAUCACCCCAGCUUCAUUUUGGUACCAGGCUCGUGUGUUUUGGUUGAGGUUCAAAAACCUGCAACUGGUGGCCGAAAUUAGUUGAUUCACCGGAGAAGACGGUGGUUUCCACCACCGUCCCCACGUGGAUGAGUCUGUGCCCUUGGAUGAGGCUCCCACGAUCUAAUCUUGGCCAUGCAUUCUAUUGACCUUUUUAAUUCAGUUUGUUGCGCGCUUGACUAACGCCUACCAUGGAAACGCGCUUCUGAGCCCUUGGAUGUUGCCACAACAAUUAAUGAAGUGGAUCCAGCGCUUCUGAUUUUUUAGCAUUUUCUAAUUUCUGUUUUAUUUUCUUUUAUUCCCUUUUAUUUCAAAAAUUCAUAACUAUUUAAUUUGAAAUCACAAAAAUAUAAGACCAAUACUAAAUUUUUUCUUGAAAAAUCUAGUUUCAUAAUCUGAUUUUUAAUUAUUUUUGUGAUUCCAUUUAAUAUUUUUUGUGAAUUAUUUUGUUUUAAUAGUUUUUUAAUUCAUUUUAAAUACUUUUUGAUAUCCAAAAAUUCCAAAAAUAUUUUCUUAACUUAUAUGUAUCAUGAUAAGUCUAUGAAAAAUAUUCUCAUCAAUUUCUUAAUUGAUUUGAGAUUUUAAUUCAUAAUGUUUUAUUUUAUUUGUUUUUUAAUUGAUUUUAAAUAUGUUCUGUUUUCAAAAAAUGUUGAGAAAAUUUGUCAAACUUUGUUUGACCAUGUUAGAAUUGUGAUGAUUCAAUUGGACUUGGUGAAGUUGAUUUGAAUUGAAUUUGAAGUUUGACCAUAUUUUGUUCAUUUUAUUUUAUGUAUUAUUUUAAUUCCAAAAAAUAUGUUUGACUUUGUUGACUUCUAAUCUUCAUUUCUCAUCUGUUUUACUUCGGUUGAUGAUGAUUUCAUUCACAUUUGAUCAUUGUGUUUUGAUUAUGUCAUUUGAAUUCUUGUUUAUCCAUUUCAUUUCAUUUCAUCUUCAUCUUCUUCUUCUUCUUAUUUUGUCCAAUGAGUUAAUGAUUUGUGGUUGAUCUUGACAUAUGAGAGGCUUAACCUUCUUUGAUCCAAAUCAAACUCAACUUGAUCAAAGAUCAAGUGAGUUGCUUUGUGUCCAAGAUAGGUUGCUUCUUGGUCAAGCAGAAAACCUAAAAUCCAUACAAGGCUUUCAUCUUUUCUUUUGGCAUGGCAAGUUGCAGGAGCUUGGCUUACUAGUCAUGAUCUCUAACUUGUGUUUAUUUGCCUAUAGUUUUAUUGACCGGCCUCAGAUAGGUGUGACUACUACAUUAGUCCAUUUACGAUUGCUUAACGUAGCGCUAAAUUGUCUUAUGACACACUAACAUUAACCACUAAUUACUAACUUUAAUUUGAGCAUUUAAUUCUUGCAAUUUACUUUAAUACAAUUUACUUUCUUGCUCAUUUAUUCAUAUUGCCUUUUCCCUUUGCUCACUUGAGCUCAUAUUUUAUGUUUAUGUCAUUUUCCUUUUGCUCACUUGAGCACAUUAUUGUAUGUAAAUAUAUUGUUGCUUUAUGCUUGUUUUGUUUUUGUUUUUGUGAACCCAAUGCAAAAAGGAGAAAGGACUUAGAAUUAUGACCUAAUCUAUGCUUAAAGGAGUUCAAGAGCAACUAGGCCUCAUGCCUUUAGAAUUCUAAACUUGUUGAAGAGCAACUAGGCCUCAUGCCUUUAGAAUGCUAAAUCUCAAAGUUGACUUCAAAUGACCCCUAAUCUAAACUUAUUCUUUGUCCAUUCCUCUUAUUGCAUUGUGAACUUUUUGAUUGUUUGUUCUUGUGUGAUAGGGAUUCCAAACUUGAGAUAGUAAGAAGGACCAUUGUCAUGAAUAGCCAAGUUAAGAGAGACAAGCAUGUGAACUUUUUGAUUGUUUGUUCUUGUGUGAUAGGGAUUCCAAACUUGAGAUAGUAAGAAGGACCAUUGUCAUGAAUAGCCAAGUUAAGAGAGACAAGCCAAAUGGAGAUCCUAGGAGCUUGAAUGAAUAUUUGUUUGAUUGCUUGAGUUAAUUUCUAAGUCCAAAGGAAAGGAGCAUCUUGAAUCAUCUCUAUGAUCUCAAGAAAAGGAACUCCAGGGGUUUUAUCUCUUCUCUUAUGUUUGCAUGUUUAGGACUAGCCCUUCUCUUCUUCUCUCCACUCUAACCCAAGCCAAACUCAUUUUGUGCAAACUUUGAUUUUGUUUUCAAACUAGAAACCUAAGCCUUAUGCCUUUGAAUUUCCAAAAUCAUUUUAUUAAUUCUCAUUGUGAAUAAACAUUAAUUCAACUUUGACCUCAUUUUGUGAAUACUUCUAAUUUGUAAAUACAAUUCACUUCAAGUUAAUUUUGUGGUUCCAAUGACCACCUUUGUUAAAACUUUUUUCAUAAACAUUAGUCAUUAGGUUUGAGUUAUCAUAGUGGUUGAUGUAAACCUCACCUUAUCCUUAGUGAUUGGACUAUAAGUCUUCCUUACUUAUUAUAGGGUGGAUCCCUCACUAGUAUGUUGAAGCUCUCCUCACAUGGUGG